RNAcentral lists this ribosomal RNA (456 nucleotides) under uncultured bacterium. RNAcentral describes it as "bacterial SSU rRNA". It matches the Rfam family "Bacterial small subunit ribosomal RNA", at positions 923 to 1379 of the family's 1533-position model. The record is from RNAcentral.
GCACAAGCGGUGGAGCAUGUGGAUUAAUUCGAUGCAACGCGAAGAACCUUACCUGGGCUUGACAUGGACUAGAAAUCCUCAGAGAUGAGGGCUCCCUUGUGGCUGGUUCACAGGUGGUGCAUGGCUGUCGUCAGCUCGUGUCGUGAGAUGUUGGGUUAAGUCCCGCAACGAGCGCAACCCUCGUUCCAUGUUGCCAGCACGUAAUGGUGGGGACUCAUGGGAGACUGCCGGGGUCAACUCGGAGGAAGGUGGGGAUGACGUCAAGUCAUCAUGCCCCUUAUGUCCAGGGCUUCACACAUGCUACAAUGGCCGGUACGAAGGGCUGCUAAGCCGUGAGGUGGAGCGAAUCCCAUAAAGCCGGUCUCAGUUCGGAUCGGGGUCUGCAACUCGACCCCGUGAAGUCGGAGUCGCUAGUAAUCGCAGAUCAGCAUUGCUGCGGUGAAUACGUUCCCGGGC